Molecule: unclassified non-coding RNA, 470 nt
Filed under: Hevea brasiliensis (rubber tree)
Lineage: Eukaryota; Viridiplantae; Streptophyta; Magnoliopsida; Malpighiales; Euphorbiaceae
Source: RNAcentral
UUUUUUUUAACUUGAUCUCUUCUGUAAGGCAACACAAUCAACAAUCAAUCCCCAGAACGGGCCCUCAGAUGAAUCCUUUAGUAGCAGCACAGACUCCAGUUGAUGAAAUGAUGAGACAUGCAUAUGUUGAUCCUAAUGAUCCAACAAGAAUUUUUUUGCAGCAGCCCACUCCAGAGUCCGAGUUAAGGAGGCGCACAUACCAGUUGUCUCCAGCUGAACGCUCCAUAUGAUAGCAUUUUCUUUGUUGGAUUGUUUAUCAAGCAAACUAGCUAAAUACAGUUAAUCGUGUUGUGAUGUUGUACAUAGCAAACCUACUUAUUUAGUGAUUCAGUGAUUUUAUACUUUAAAUUGCUACUUAUUUUUAUUCCAUGCCUUUGGUGGGUAUGGUAUCCUUACAUAAAUUUUAUUGUAUUGCGUAGUAAACACUGUUAAAGUUCAUGCAAGGAUACCAUACCCACCAAAGGCAUGGA